This 2860-nucleotide ribosomal RNA is filed under the name Klebsiella pneumoniae. RNAcentral's name for it is "23S ribosomal RNA". It matches the Rfam family "Bacterial large subunit ribosomal RNA". The record is from RNAcentral. Lineage: Bacteria; Pseudomonadati; Pseudomonadota; Gammaproteobacteria; Enterobacterales; Enterobacteriaceae.
UUAAGCGACUAAGCGUACACGGUGGAUGCCCUGGCAGUCAGAGGCGAUGAAGGACGUGCUAAUCUGCGAAAAGCGUCGGUAAGGUGAUAUGAACCGUUAUANCACUAUCGUUAACUGAAUACAUAGGUUAACGAGGCGAACCGGGGGAACUGAAACAUCUAAGUACCCCGAGGAAAAGAAAUCAACCGAGAUUCCCCCAGUAGCGGCGAGCGAACGGGGAGCAGCCCAGAGUCUGAAUCAGCUUGUGUGUUAGUGGAACGGUCUGGAAAGUCCGACGGUACAGGGUGAUAGUCCCGUACACCAAAAUGCACAGGCUGUGAACUCGAAGAGUAGGGCGGGACACGUGGUAUCCUGUCUGAAUAUGGGGGGACCAUCCUCCAAGGCUAAAUACUCCUGACUGACCGAUAGUGAACCAGUACCGUGAGGGAAAGGCGAAAAGAACCCCGGCGAGGGGAGUGAAAAAGAACCUGAAACCGUGUACGUACAAGCAGUGGGAGCACCUUCGGGUGUGACUGCGUACCUUUUGUAUAAUGGGUCAGCGACUUAUAUUCUGUAGCAAGGUUAACCGUAUAGGGGAGCCGCAGGGAAACCGAGUCUUAACUGGGCGUUAAGUUGCAGGGUAUAGACCCGAAACCCGGUGAUCUAGCCAUGGGCAGGUUGAAGGUUGGGUAACACUAACUGGAGGACCGAACCGACUAAUGUUGAAAAAUUAGCGGAUGACUUGUGGCUGGGGGUGAAAGGCCAAUCAAACCGGGAGAUAGCUGGUUCUCCCCGAAAGCUAUUUAGGUAGCGCCUCGUGAACUCAUCUUCGGGGGUAGAGCACUGUUUCGGCUAGGGGGUCAUCCCGACUUACCAACCCGAUGCAAACUACGAAUACCGAAGAAUGUUAUCACGGGAGACACACGGCGGGUGCUAACGUCCGUCGUGAAGAGGGAAACAACCCAGACCGCCAGCUAAGGUCCCAAAGUCAUGGUUAAGUGGGAAACGAUGUGGGAAGGCACAGACAGCCAGGAUGUUGGCUUAGAAGCAGCCAUCAUUUAAAGAAAGCGUAAUAGCUCACUGGUCGAGUCGGCCUGCGCGGAAGAUGUAACGGGGCUAAACCAUGCACCGAAGCUGCGGCAGCGACACUAUGUGUUGUUGGGUAGGGGAGCGUUCUGUAAGCCUGCGAAGGUGACCUGUGAGGGUUGCUGGAGGUAUCAGAAGUGCGAAUGCUGACAUAAGUAACGAUAAAGCGGGUGAAAAGCCCGCUCGCCGGAAGACCAAGGGUUCCUGUCCAACGUUAAUCGGGGCAGGGUGAGUCGACCCCUAAGGCGAGGCCGAAAGGCGUAGUCGAUGGGAAACAGGUUAAUAUUCCUGUACUUGGUGUUACUGCGAAGGGGGGACGGAGAAGGCUAUGUUAGCCGGGCGACGGUUGUCCCGGUUUAAGCAUGUAGGCUGGUUAUCCAGGCAAAUCCGGAUAAUCAAGGCUGAGGUGUGAUGACGAGGCACUACGGUGCUGAAGUAACAAAUGCCCUGCUUCCAGGAAAAGCCUCUAAGCAUCAGGUAACAUCAAAUCGUACCCCAAACCGACACAGGUGGUCAGGUAGAGAAUACCAAGGCGCUUGAGAGAACUCGGGUGAAGGAACUAGGCAAAAUGGUGCCGUAACUUCGGGAGAAGGCACGCUGGUGUGUAGGUGAAGCCCCUGCGGGUGGAGCUGAGACCAGUCGAAGAUACCAGCUGGCUGCAACUGUUUAUUAAAAACACAGCACUGUGCAAACACGAAAGUGGACGUAUACGGUGUGACGCCUGCCCGGUGCCGGAAGGUUAAUUGAUGGGGUUAUCCGUAAGGAGAAGCUCUUGAUCGAAGCCCCGGUAAACGGCGGCCGUAACUAUAACGGUCCUAAGGUAGCGAAAUUCCUUGUCGGGUAAGUUCCGACCUGCACGAAUGGCGUAAUGAUGGCCAGGCUGUCUCCACCCGAGACUCAGUGAAAUUGAACUCGCUGUGAAGAUGCAGUGUACCCGCGGCAAGACGGAAAGACCCCGUGAACCUUUACUAUAGCUUGACACUGAACAUUGAGCCUUGAUGUGUAGGAUAGGUGGGAGGCUUUGAAGCGUGGACGCCAGUCUGCGUGGAGCCAACCUUGAAAUACCACCCUUUAAUGUUUGAUGUUCUAACGUUGGCCCCUGACCGGGGUUGCGGACAGUGUCUGGUGGGUAGUUUGACUGGGGCGGUCUCCUCCCAAAGCGUAACGGAGGAGCACGAAGGUUAGCUAAUCCUGGUCGGACAUCAGGAGGUUAGUGCAAUGGCAUAAGCUAGCUUGACUGCGAGCGUGACGGCGCGAGCAGGUGCGAAAGCAGGUCAUAGUGAUCCGGUGGUUCUGAAUGGAAGGGCCAUCGCUCAACGGAUAAAAGGUACUCCGGGGAUAACAGGCUGAUACCGCCCAAGAGUUCAUAUCGACGGCGGUGUUUGGCACCUCGAUGUCGGCUCAUCACAUCCUGGGGCUGAAGUAGGUCCCAAGGGUAUGGCUGUUCGCCAUUUAAAGUGGUACGCGAGCUGGGUUUAGAACGUCGUGAGACAGUUCGGUCCCUAUCUGCCGUGGGCGCUGGAGAAUUGAGGGGGGCUGCUCCUAGUACGAGAGGACCGGAGUGGACGCAUCACUGGUGUUCGGGUUGUCAUGCCAAUGGCACUGCCCGGUAGCUAAAUGCGGAAGAGAUAAGUGCUGAAAGCAUCUAAGCACGAAACUUGCCCCGAGAUGAGUUCUCCCUGAGACUUUAAGUCUCCUGAAGGAACGUUAAAGACGAUGACGUUGAUAGGCCGGGUGUGUAAGCGCAGCGAUGCGUUGAGCUAACCGGUACUAAUGAACCGUGAGGCUUAACCUU